AUUGAACGCUGGCGGCAGGCCUAACACAUGCAAGUCGAACGGUAACAGGAAGACGCUUGCUUCUUUGCUGACGAGUGGCGGACGGGUGAGUAAUGUCUGGGAAACUGCCUGAUGGAGGGGGAUAACUACUGGAAACGGUAGCUAAUACCGCAUAACGUCGCCAGACCAAAGAGGGGGACCUUCGGGCCUCUUGCCAUCGGAUGUGCCCAGAUGGGAUUAGCUAGUAGGUGGGGUAACGGCUCACCUAGGCGACGAUCCCUAGCUGGUCUGAGAGGAUGACCAGCGACACUGGAACUGAGACACGGUCCAGACGCCUACGGGAGGCAGCAGUGGGGAAUAUUGCACAAUGGGCGCAAGCCUGAUGCAGCCAUGCCGCGUGUAUGAAGAAGGCCUUCGGGUUGUAAAGUACUUUCAGCGGGGAGGAAGGGAGUAAAGUUAAUACCUUUGCUCAUUGACGUUACCCGCAGAAGAAGCACCGGCCAACUCCGUG
RNAcentral lists this ribosomal RNA (490 nucleotides) under uncultured bacterium. Its description in RNAcentral is "partial 16S ribosomal RNA". It matches the Rfam family "Bacterial small subunit ribosomal RNA", at positions 30 to 507 of the family's 1533-position model. The record is from RNAcentral.